RNAcentral lists this non-coding RNA (30 nucleotides) under Rattus norvegicus (Norway rat). Lineage: Eukaryota; Metazoa; Chordata; Mammalia; Rodentia; Muridae. The record is from RNAcentral.
UUGUAGGAUCAUAAUUGAAUGAUGGAAAGC